UCCGUUGUCGUCCAGCCCGGUUAGGAUAUCUGGCUUUCACCCAGGCGACCCGGGUUCAAAUCCCGGCAACGGAG
RNAcentral lists this transfer RNA (74 nucleotides) under Asparagus officinalis (garden asparagus). Its description in RNAcentral is "tRNA A4U43_Glu190". It matches the Rfam family "tRNA". Rfam says of the family: Transfer RNA (tRNA) molecules are approximately 80 nucleotides in length. Their secondary structure includes four short double-helical elements and three loops (D, anti-codon, and T loops). Lineage: Eukaryota; Viridiplantae; Streptophyta; Magnoliopsida; Asparagales; Asparagaceae. The record is from Rfam by way of RNAcentral.